Molecule: long non-coding RNA, 591 nt
Organism: Cornus florida
Lineage: Eukaryota; Viridiplantae; Streptophyta; Magnoliopsida; Cornales; Cornaceae
Exons: 2
Source: RefSeq, a predicted model, not a curated record
UUUAGGCCAUUGCAAUACUGUAGCGGAGGCUACAAAAAUCCACUUAUUCCAACUUCUGAGGAAAGUUGGAACAUUUUAGGGUAGAAGGCAGUAGCGAGCAUUUAGCGAUUCGAAGGCGAUUCAGUUUCAAAGGGCAAAUCAGUGCGAUACAGUCCUUCUACGACCAUAAACGUCAUCGAUCAGUCCCUGAUUUCAUCUUCCCUUCAAAGAACAACCGAGUUACCUAGCAAAGUAGUACCUGAAGCCAAGGGAAAAACAUUAGAAGAAAUUUAGCAUCAACUGCUUUUUUGGAGUGGAAUGCACUUGUGCUUCUAUAUUGAAGUCUUCCAACGCUAACGAUGAUGUUGUUGACAAAUAUUGGAAAUGAGUGGACAUUUGUUUCCUUCAGUAAUGCUGGACUUGGAAAAGAUCGGACAACUUUGAAAUUCUUUCAGUUUGCCUUUUGUAAUAAAUAGUUAAUUCAAGAUCUAUGUAUAGAGAGAUGGGACUACUUUGCGUACAUUUUUAAUAUUGGUUGGAUUGUUAAUUAUAGACAAUUUGUAUAUUCAAGUAUGAAAUGAAUUUGAAUUGGUAGAUGGUUUAUUAUACACA